Molecule: non-coding RNA, 407 nt
Organism: Cinara cedri
Lineage: Eukaryota; Metazoa; Arthropoda; Insecta; Hemiptera; Aphididae
Source: the annotation of a GenBank genome assembly
CCAGGAGACUUGUUCGGAGUUUUAAGUGUAGAACUUUUUUUGAAGGGAAAUCGGUGUGGGAAGGUGCCCUAAAGAGUUCAUUUUCUGGUUUUCUCAAGAGUUUUCUUAUAAAAUUUGAAAAACCGAAAAAAACGAGAAAAUGUAAGAAAUAUACAAUAGGUAUUAGUUAAUAUAUAUUACAACCUUUUUUUUUUUUGUGCACAAUUUUUCUACCAAACUUUGCUCCAACUCAUAUUGACAGCAAUGUUUCCAAAAGGAAAUUUCACUAGAAAGGUAUUUUAGAGAGGCCAUUUUUCGAUUUUUUCAAGAUUUUUCCCAGUAAAUGUGAAAAACCUGGAUAAAACAUCAGAAAAUCUGUACUUUUAUAAUAACUUGUAUAUACUUGUAUAACUUUUAUUUGAAAUGUG